CCUACGGGUGGCAGCAGUAGGGAAUCUUCCACAAUGGGCGAAAGCCUGAUGGAGCAACGCCGCGUGGGUGAAGAAGGUCUUCGGAUCGUAAAACUCUUUUGUUAGAGAAGAAAGUGCGUUAGAGUAACUGUUCACCUUUCGACGGUAUCUAACCAGAAAGCCACGGCUAACUACGUGCCAGCAGCCGCGGUAAUACGUAGGUUGCAAGCGUUAACCGGAUUUAUUGGGCGUAAAGCGAACGCAGGCGGUCUUUUAAGUCUGAUGUGAAAGCCUUCGGCUUAACCGGAGUAGUGCAUUGUGAACUGGGGGACUUGAGUGCGGAAGAGGAAGGUAGAACUCCAGGUGUAGCAGUGAAAUGCGUAGAUAUGUGGAAGAACACCAGUGGCGAAAGCGGCUCUCUGGUCUGUAACUGACGCUGAGGUUCGAAAGCGUGGGUAGCAAACAGGAUUAGAUACCCCAGUAGUC
Molecule: ribosomal RNA, 465 nt
Filed under: uncultured bacterium
Lineage: Bacteria
Description: partial 16S ribosomal RNA
Rfam family: Bacterial small subunit ribosomal RNA
Source: RNAcentral